Molecule: long non-coding RNA, 235 nt
Filed under: Sus scrofa (pig)
Lineage: Eukaryota; Metazoa; Chordata; Mammalia; Artiodactyla; Suidae
Description: lncRNA (ENSSSCG00055014740.1)
Source: RNAcentral
AAAGAUGAGGCUAUUAUGGGCUACUUUGCUAUGAAGCUACUACAAGCCUGCCUGGAGUAUGGAUUAUCUGCAGGUUUGCUUCUUGAUCCGAAUCAUAGCUUCUAUAAUGAAUCACAGACACACCUCUUGUCUGGUUUUGCAAGGGCUUUAAGGAAUGCAUCAUGAACCAGAAGAGUGGCUGACCCCAUCCCAGUACUUCUCAAUCCGCCACUCCCACACCGACUGCAUCUCUGGG